GUUGUCGUAGCUCAAAGGUAGAGCGAGCAGCUGUUAACUGCCAGACCCUGGUUCAAUUCCAGGCGAUGACU
This 71-nucleotide transfer RNA is filed under the name Sterigmatomyces sp. RNAcentral describes it as "tRNA-Asn". It matches the Rfam family "tRNA". From Rfam's summary of the family: Transfer RNA (tRNA) molecules are approximately 80 nucleotides in length. The record is from RNAcentral. Lineage: Eukaryota; Fungi; Basidiomycota; Agaricostilbomycetes; Agaricostilbales; Agaricostilbaceae.